CAUUUACAGCAGCAGCUCGGCGAUCUGGACGGCGUUGAGCGCGGCGCCCUUCUUGAUCUGGUCACCGCACACAAACAGGUCCAGGCCCUUGUUGUCAUCACGCGAGAUGUCGCGGCGCACGCGGCCCACGAACACGUUGUCCUUGGUGGUGGCGUCCAGGGGGGUGGGGAAGCUGCAGGGGCACGUCAAAAGGAAGAAGCCACGUCAGCUCAUCCACUUGAGUUCACAGGUUCCUGGACGGGAAACAAUGUGCAUCUGGCGCAGCAACGGACGCCUGCUUCGCCAUCCCGCCGUCACCACGCUCGCCUGCGCCUCUACAGCUGCUUUCCGACGGCAACGUGUUCCGCCAAUCACCAGCAAUCCCCCUAGCCAGCUCCUCCCAGGCUGCCCUAGCCAUCGCCGCCACCGCCAAUCAUGUCUUUGCCGCGCCUGCCCCCGCUGCCAGCCCUGAGCCCAGCCCUGGCCCCCAUGUCGCACCGGUUGUUCUGGCGGUCGUUAAUGAUGGACACGCCGGGGAAGGCCGCCAGCGCCUCCAGCGCUUGCGCCUCGGAGAUGUCCUUCUCGAACUGGGCGAGAUUCACAACACACACGCAAGGCACGAUCGGGUCAGCGCUUGCGCGUCAGGCAGUGGGGGCAUUGGCUGCCACCGGUCUCCUCGCCGCACACAGCGCCAGGUUGCUCAACCCCGUUCAAUGACCAACACCCCGUCUUGCUUGGCCGCUGCAGGCCGCCGUCGCACCUCCAGGUUGAUGGACUCGGCGUGGGCGCGCAUGACGGGCACGCGCACGCAGGUGGCGGUGAUGCGGAUCCCGGGGUUGUUCCAGAUCUUGCGGGUCUCCUUCACCAGCUUCAUCUCCUCCUCGUUGU
This 867-nucleotide long non-coding RNA is filed under the name Chlamydomonas reinhardtii. Its description in RNAcentral is "long non-coding RNA (CREI_LNC000793)". The record is from RNAcentral. Lineage: Eukaryota; Viridiplantae; Chlorophyta; Chlorophyceae; Chlamydomonadales; Chlamydomonadaceae.